UUUCAGUUGAGAGUGACCAGGAAGCAUCCUACACAGCCCAAGCUGUUUGAGAAGGGAGAGAACUCGACAUGUACAGAUUCCAUUAUACCAAUUAGCAAUAAACAAAUUUCGUGACAAAGUAUAUACUUCGCUAUAUUGUAAUUUGUCUUAAAGAAUCUUUUUAUGUAUUUUAGUGAAAUGUAAUUUGAUUUUCGAGCCUGCUGACAUUUAAUUGAAAGGAUGCUAAACUAUCACCUCAGUCCCGGCAAUCUAAUUAAAUGUUUGUUAAUAUGUUGUGUAGGACUAAGUGCGUCCGGUAAUGGCGGACAUAAUACGUUGUUUAAAAGCUGCUUCAUUUCAGGAAUAUUAAGUCACGAAACAUUUAGAAUGACAGACGAAAUGUGUUUGGUUCUGAUGAUGUAUUGAUUAUGCACACGAGGAAUGUAAUUAUUAUUUAAGGAGAAACUUUGUUUUUUUUCUUUUUUCCAUUUUAAUCAUUUGUGUUUUUGUUUUGUAAACUUAAGUUCAAUUUAUUUCGGAUUCAUUGAAGGUUAUACUGUCGGCUGCCUGAAUGAGAGAGAAAGUAUAACAAACUUGCUUUCAUCUUUAAAUAAUUUAUAUACAUCAUUGACAAAUAGAGAGGAACUGAACUUUUUGAGUUUCUAAAACCUAUGUUUGAUAGAAAUUCCAAUAUAUCUUUAUAUAUAUAAUAUAUUAGAAGACAAGACAAGCAAAGUAUAGAAUUUAAGAUUAGUUAUUUCAUUCAAACAAAUUCAUUGGUCCGUUUAUUUUUCGGUGUUUUGUGAUUGGUAAAGAACAUUGAAAGUCAGAUAUUAUUUUGUGAUACACUACUAUGAUGGAGAUUUAUUAUAUCAUAUAAAUAUAUAUAUAGCAGAUUUAAAAAGUAUUUUCAAGGAAAAUAAAAUGCUGA
RNAcentral lists this long non-coding RNA (910 nucleotides) under Mytilus galloprovincialis (Mediterranean mussel). Lineage: Eukaryota; Metazoa; Mollusca; Bivalvia; Mytilida; Mytilidae. The record is from RNAcentral.